This 3014-nucleotide long non-coding RNA is filed under the name Olea europaea subsp. europaea. The record is from RNAcentral. Lineage: Eukaryota; Viridiplantae; Streptophyta; Magnoliopsida; Lamiales; Oleaceae.
ACAGAUUUUAAAAACACCUUAUCUUUGAAAUACUCUUCCAUUCGCCUAAUUUUGGAAUUGAUCCCCUGAAUGUUUGUCAUUUUGAAAUUAACCCUAACAUGAGAAUACCACACCAACAUGGUCCAGCACAAAGUUCGGAUAAAAGUUUAGGCCCCAUUACCGAACCAUAUCAGUAGUAACUGAAGUACAUUUUAAUCCCACAUCGAAAAUAUGGAGAUCUCACCAUUUCAUAUAUCAGCCCCUAUGUCUGGCGUAGAUCGAGCAAUGGAACAAGUUUAUUUUGCGAAGAUUUGAUGAUUGAUUGAAGUUAUUUUCAGUGGGUUUUUUGGGUCUGAAUUUUUUAUCUGAAAAUUAGGGUUAUUAUUUUUUGAAAAAUGGAACAAAUUUAUUUUGCGAAGAUUUGAUGAUUGAUUGAAGUUAUUUUCAGUGGGUUUUUUGGGUCUGAAUUUUUUAACCGAGAAUUAGGGUUAUUAUUUGUUGAAUUUUUUUUAACAUUUUUAGAUGGUUUAGGUUUUCUGCUAGUGAUGUGAGACGUGGUGCAAAUUCAUGAUUCUUUAGCUUCUACUCUGUCGAUUACACCAGCAAUCUUUGGUUUAAAUUUUUUACAAUCAGUCUUUUUUUCCCGAUUGCAGAUAAUUUGGUGUCAGUCGCGGUUGACUAGCCGCCGCUGGUGGGGCUGAAGCGGAGCAAAAGUAGCAUGAAUGGACACCGACAACAGAAAUCUGAUCGAUAACUUCGAUUUCCUUGUUAUUGUGCCACGGGUACUCGAGGUUUUCUAUGUUGAAAUACGAUGGUAUAAUUUUAUUCAAAAAUAUAUCAUUCACAGACUAACGAGCAUGGUGUCUUCCUGAAAUUGAUAAUUUAAAAUUGGUGUUUUUUGUGAUAUUUUCUUUUGCUAAGCUUCGCAUUGCGCACAUCAUCGUUUGUCUGAUAUUAAAUUUCAGUAUUUAAUUCUUCAUAGAAGUUGUGGCUUUAAAAUUCUGGGGAAUGUAUUCAAGUUUCUAAAAUGAGAAUAACUAGGGAAAAUCAAGUAAAAUUUGUUGUAGUAUAACAUAAAAGUGUCAACGGUAAAGACAAGGGUUGCUAUUCAAAGAAUCGAAUCCAUUAUCAUUGUUCUUUUCUUCAUGUAACUCCAUUUUAUGACUAGAAAACAUACCAGCACAGUACAAUAUAUUUUAUGUCUUUAUUUGUUUGAUGUUGAUGGCUAUAUUUCUAAACCAUUUUCUUUUCCUUGCGUGUUGAAUAGAUAAUAUGAUACUAUUGUUACAGUAAACUUAACUGCAGAAUCCCCUUUAGCAGAUAGUUCCAUCUUCAAAAAUCUCAUUGAUAAUUUUGGUCGUCUCACUAGCCCCUGUUUGGCCCCAAUUAAAUUUCAUUACAUUACAUUCCAUUUUUCUCUCUCCUAUUUUCAACCACACAAUCUUCCAUAAAAUAAUAUUACACGUAAAUCGAAAACUUUUCCUUCUUCUUCAAUCACUCAUUUUUCAAAAAAAAACUAUUCCACCCAUUUUCAUUUUUAAAAAAUGGGGGCCAAACCGGAAGAAUGUAAGGUAGUGUAUCUGAUUCCUUUUAACAGCUUCUGAAAAUUGUCUAACAAAAAUAUUUCAGAGCAUAUGAUGUUGCCUGCUAAAGUACAAAUUAUUAAUGCGAGGUACAAUGACAAAAUGAUUAUUCUAGCAUAUAAGAACUAAUACUCAUGUGACUUGAAGACUUUGUUUUGUAAAGUUUUGCAGAGUAGAAUAACAUAAUUUUUUUAGCAUUCGAAAGUUAACCUCAUAUUUCACUAUUAUCUCUACAUGUUUUCCUACUUGAUAUCUUAACGUUUUCAUCAUAGCUACACCAAUAUUUGCAGUUUGUUACUUGGAUAUAAAUGUUGUUUUACCAAAAGUUCUCUGACACCGGUUGUAUCUUCUAAUUGUCAAUCAGCUUAUGCUGUAAUUCACGAAAGAAUCUUAACUUUCAAUAGGCACCUCAUUGUACAAAUGAGGAUAUGUUUGUAUCGUUCCAUAUCAAGACAUAAAUUUGUAUGGAGAUUGAAUAAACCUAAGGAGAGGGAGCAGAACUUCAUCUAAUCUAUCAAUUUUUCUCGAGUUUUUUAAAAUUAUAGAUGGUGUAUUCACUCACUAUAGUUUGUUAAGACUUGAGGUUCCAUCCUAAAAGGUCAACCUUGUUAUGAGUAGUAGUCCAAACCCUUAUAAAUUGGUCUAUAUUUUCAUAUUUAGAUGGUGGCUUCUCUAAGCAGACCAAUUUUGAAAUCGUGUUCUCAUUUUUUGAGUCUUAAUCGAAUCGAAUCGCUCAUUGGAGUUUAAUGAGCUCUGAUACCAUGGUAAGACUUGAGGUCCAUCUUAAUAAGGUCAACCUUAUUAAGAGGAAUAGCCCAAGAUCUUUUUAAGUUGGUCAAUAUUUCGAUAUUUAACCGAUGUGAGAUUUUUAUCACUUAGCAUGCCUCCACAAGAUGGUGCAUUGUUUGAGUAGACCAAUCUUACAAUCUGUUGCUUAUUAAUUGAGACUUAUAAUCGGAUCGAAUCGCUCGUUAGAGCUUAAUGAGCUCUGAUACCAUGUUAAAACAUGAUAUUCCAUUUUCAAGGGUCAAUCUUGUUAAGAGUAGUCCAAACCUUUAUAAAUUGGUUUAUAUUUUCAUCUUUAUUCGAUAUGGAAUUAUAUCCCCUUACUAUGAUCGAUAAAUUAAUGAAUAGAAUAUCUGCAAAAGAAAAGGCUGGAUGUAUAGUGUGUAGUGUUUGUGUUCAAAGCCGAAAAUUUCUAUCCUCGACUUUCUCCUCUAGGUUCUAGAACUGUAGAGCAUGAUCAACUUGCGUCUUGAAUCAAGAAGUGAAAGUUUUAGCAUGCCCUUCACUAGUGUUUAUGAAUUUGAGUUAACAAACCGAGAAGUUUUUAUAAAGCUAAAUAAACACAGCUAAAAUGUGUUGUUAUGCUGAUAAUAAAAGCGCCCCUUCAUCUUCUCUCAUGCAGAGAAGUCCUUCAUUCACCUUGUUCUAUUUUCAGUGUUAUCAUAC